AUACGGAGGGUGCAAGCGUUAAUCGGAAUCACUGGGCAUAAAGAGCACGUAGGCGGGAAUGUAAGUCGGGUGUGAAAUCCCUCGGCCUAACCGAGGAACUGCGCCCGAUACUGCAUACCUUGAGGGCAUGAGGGGAGCGUGGAAUUCCUGGUGGAGCGGUGAAAUGCGUUGAUAUCAGGAGGAACACCGGCGGCGAAGGCGACGCUCUGGCCUGUUUCUGACGCUGAGGUGCGAAAGCCAGGGGAGCAAACGGGAUUAGAAACCCCGGUAGUCC
Molecule: ribosomal RNA, 274 nt
Filed under: uncultured bacterium
Lineage: Bacteria
Description: partial 16S ribosomal RNA
Rfam family: Bacterial small subunit ribosomal RNA
Source: RNAcentral